ACGCUGGCGGCAGGCCUAAUACAUGCAAGUCGAACGAUCCUUCGGGAUAGUGGCGGACGGGUGCGUAACACGUGGGAAUUUGCCCUUGGGUAAGGAAUAACAGUUAGAAAUGACUGCUAAUACCUUAUAACAUCUCCGGAUCAAAGAUUUAUCGCCCAAGGAUGAGCCCGCGGCUGAUUAGCUUGUUGGUGGGGUAAUGGCCUACCAAGGCGACGAUCAGUAGCUGGUCUGAGAGGAUGAUCAGCCACACUGGGACUGAGACACGGCCCAGACUCCUACGGGAGGCAGCAGUAAGGAAUAUUGGACAAUGGGGGCAACCCUGAUCCAGCCAUGCCGCGUGUGUGAAGAAGGCCCUAGGGUUGUAAAACACUUUCAAUCGUGAAGAUAAUGACUGUAACGAUACAAGAAGCCCCGGCUAACUCCGUGCCAGCAGCCGCGGUAAUACGGAGGGGGCGAGCGUUAUUCGGAAUCACUGGGCGUAAAGCGUACGUAGGCGGCUUAACAAGUCAGAAGUGAAAUCCCAGGGCUUAACCCUGGAACUGCUUUUGAAACUGUUUCGCUAGAAUAUUGGAGAGGUCAGGAGAAUUCCUAGUGUAGAGGUGAAAUUCGUAGAUAUUAGGAGGAAUACCAGUGGCGUAGGCGCCUGACUGGACAAUUAUUGACGCUGAGGUACGAAAGUGUGGGGAGCAAACAGGAUUAGAUACCCUGGUAGUCCACACCGUAAACGAUGUGUACUAGUUGUCGGGCCCUUGAGGUUCGGUGACGCAGCUAACGCAGUAAGUACACCGCCUGGGAAGUACGGCCGCAAGGUUAAAACUCAAAGGAAUUGACGGGGACCCGCACAAGCGGUGGAGC
This 855-nucleotide ribosomal RNA is filed under the name marine metagenome. RNAcentral describes it as "bacterial SSU rRNA". It matches the Rfam family "Bacterial small subunit ribosomal RNA", at positions 33 to 938 of the family's 1533-position model. The record is from RNAcentral.